This is a long non-coding RNA of Amaranthus tricolor (Joseph's coat), 774 nucleotides long. RefSeq lists it as uncharacterized. Lineage: Eukaryota; Viridiplantae; Streptophyta; Magnoliopsida; Caryophyllales; Amaranthaceae. The record is from RefSeq and is a predicted model, not a curated record. The transcript has 4 exons.
AAAACGAUACAAAUAAGUGAAUAACCUUCAUGGAGGCGCGCUACACUUUCCCUCCCCAUUUUCAACAAUAUCUUAAGGUUAUUAAUCUCUAUCGCGCUGCACUGACUUUAAUUUCUCUUCCUAUUUUCAACAACAAAUUAGGGCUAUUGUAUCUCGAUUUCAAUCUCCAUCUCCCAAUCUGCAUUCGUUUCAAGGUCCCUCUCCUUGUUCUUCAAUUGUCUCUUAUCCUUCCUGUGUUUGGUGAUGCAGUUGAUGCUGAUUACUGAAAGUUAUGUUGAUUACUGCACCUUCUUUAGAAUUGAUUCCAAGGACAUAUAUAAAAAUCUGCUCACAACUGGAAAAUCGUUACACAUUACUGUGUAAGAUUCAUGCAUUCAAUCGGGGGUUGAAGAAUUCAUCUCUAUGUGCUUGUGAUUAGAAGAAUCGGCAACUGAAAACAUAUGCCAGAUUUCAGCGAUGCAUGGCCUCUUGGCCGAAACAGGACUAUGCUAUUGAGGCAAAGGUUCAGCCACUGCUUCCAAUAAGAUGGGUAAACUAGGGGUAUAUUGUAAGAUCAAGUACAUAUAGCCAAGAUGAAAUAGAUGAGGUUUGUGAGCAAUGGGGAAAGUUCCUUAGAUCGAACUUUUUGUUAAACUAAAUGUAAUUUUGUACAAGCAAUAGCAGUAUUACUAUUCGAUCGUAUGUAAUCAUAUAUAUAUAAGUGUAGGUGAAUGUUAUGUAAAAGAAUAUUUUCUAAUUAAUAUACCUAUUAUUCUAUUGUAUAUUAUAUAUUAU